AGGUGGUUUUCUGACGAUUUUUCUUAUCCAGUCAAGGCCAUUCGUUCUGUUCUACUGUGGUUUCCUCCCUGAUAUGCAGUUUUCUAGAUAAUUAUGCUGCUACAUAUAUUGCUCAAGCAAGCAGAGCUAAAACUUUAAAUGGACAAGUCAAGCAUUCCUACUAUUGAUCUCUCACCUUUCUUUAGAGAGGGUGACGAAGAUGGCAAGAAAAAGGCCAUGGAAACUAUCACCCAAGCUUGUACUGAGUAUGGUUUCUUCCAAAUUGAGAACCAUGGCGUUCCCCUUGAUUUAAUGAACCAAGCCCUCGAGCUCUCCAAGAAAUUUUUCGACUUUCCGGAUGAGGAGAAACGCAAGUCAAGUCCUAACUCAGGUGCACCCCUUCCUGCUGGUUAUAGUAGGCAGCCAGACCACUCACCAGACAAAAACGAAUAUGUAUUGGUGUUUCCACCAGGUUCUAGCUUCAAUUUCUACCCCACUAACCCUCAUGGAUUCAGGGAUGUGCUGGAAGAGAUCUUCUCUUACUUAGUCAAGACAGGCUUUCUCAUUGAAAGCAUUUUAAAUGUGUGUCUGGGUCUCUCUCCCAACUUCCUUAAAGAAUUCAACCAUGAUAGGAGCUGGGAUUUCAUGGCAGCUCUGCGUUAUUUUCCAGCAACCGAAAAUGAAAACAAUGGAAUAACAGAACAUGAAGAUGGAAACUGUUUCACUUUUGUGUUCCAGGAUGAAGCUGGAGGAUUAGAAGUUCGCAAGAAUGGGGAAUGGAUUCCUGUAACUCCUAUAAAGCAUACUAUAGUGGUCAAUGUUAGUGAUGUUGUCCAGGUGUUGAGCAACAAGAAGUUCAAAAGUGCAACCCACAGGGUAGUGAGACCCAAAGGAAAAAGCAGAUACUCGUAUGCAUUCUUCUACAACUUGCAUGGAGACAAAUGGGUUGAACCAUUGCCUCGGUUUACUAAAGAGAUUGGAGAGGCACCCAAGUACAGAGGUUUCUUUUUCAAGGAGUAUCAGGAGCUGAGACUGAGAAACAAGACCCAUCCCCCUUCAAGACCUGAGGAUGUAAUCCACAUUACCCAUUAUGCAAUCAAUACCUAGCGAGACAUGAAUGUUUUGGUUGGUUUGCACUUGAGGAGAUUUUAUAUAUAUAAGCACUAAAUUGCAUGCAUAGAGGUGGAUUUCAUAUAUAUGAUUUGGUCCCUAGCUCCAAAUAAAACUACAAGGGACAAGCUAUGAGAGAGACGGUGGCAAAUAGCGUCUCCCAAAGAGCAAUAAAAAGUGAUGAGAAUCUUA
This 1281-nucleotide unclassified non-coding RNA is filed under the name Hevea brasiliensis (rubber tree). Lineage: Eukaryota; Viridiplantae; Streptophyta; Magnoliopsida; Malpighiales; Euphorbiaceae. The record is from RNAcentral.